UCCUGGGAUAGCUCAGUCAGUACAACAUGAGACUCUUGAUCUCAGGGUUGUGGGUUUGAGUACCACAUUGGGCA
RNAcentral lists this transfer RNA (74 nucleotides) under Podarcis lilfordi (Lilford's wall lizard). RNAcentral's name for it is "tRNA.Lys". Lineage: Eukaryota; Metazoa; Chordata; Lepidosauria; Squamata; Lacertidae. The record is from RNAcentral.